Non-coding RNA from Nannospalax galili (Upper Galilee mountains blind mole rat), 595 nucleotides. The record is from the annotation of a RefSeq genome assembly. NCBI's taxonomy places the organism in Eukaryota, Metazoa, Chordata, Mammalia, Rodentia, Spalacidae.
GGCAGGGUCUAUGGGUGGAGCUGACUGACUUCAGAAAUAGGGACAGACCUAGAGCCAUCCUGACACCACAGCCCAGGCUUUGGUUACACAUAGUUCCAUCUCUCACAGCCAGACACACAUCAUGAAGAGGCUGCUGGGCUCUGUUCUGGGGCUUCUGUGCACCCAGGUUUGCUGGGUGAAAGGGCAGCAAGUGGUGCAGAGUCCUGGAGCCUUGACUCUCCAGGAGGGAGACACUUCUGUGCUGCAGUGCAACUUUUCCUCCACUCCUACCAACCUGCAGUGGUUUCACCAGAAUCCCCAGGGCCUCCUCAUCAGCCUGUUUUAUAAUCCCUCGGGAACAAAGCAGAGUGGAAGACUAAAGUCCACGACAGAUGCUAAGGAACGCCGCAGCUCCCUGCGCAUCUCCUCCUCCCAAACCACAGACUCAGGCACUUACUUCUGUGCGGUGGACACACAGUGCUCCCAAGGCACCUGCAGCCUGAACACAAACUUCAGCUGGGAGCUGCUCCAUCCUGACCGUGUCCCCUGCACGCUUGAGAAGAGCGCCCUGAUUGGAUACACGUCUCUGAGCGCUCUUUGCUUUGUGGCGCUGUAG